GAAAGCGUGGGUAGCAANCAGGAUUAGAUACCCUGGUAGUCCACGCCCUAAACGAUGUCGAUUAGCUGUUGGGCAACUUGAUUGCUUAGUAGCGUAGCUAACGCGUGAAAUCGACCGCCUGGGGAGUACGGUCGCAAGAUUAAAACUCAAAGGAAUUGACGGGGACCCGCACAAGCGGUGGAUGAUGUGGAUUUAUUCGAUGCAACGCGAAGAACCUUACCUGGUCUUGACAUGUACGGAAGAACUCAGAGACGAGUUUGUGUCUUCGGGAACCGUAACACAGGUGCUGCAUGGCUGUCGUCAGCUCGUGUCGUGAGAUGUUGGGUUAAGUCCCGCGACGAGCGCAACCCUUGUCAUUAGUUGCCAUCAUUUAGUUGGGCACUCUAAUGAGACUGCCGGUGACAAACCGGAGGAAGGUGGGGAUGACGUCAAGUCCUCAUGGCCCUUAUGACCAGGGCUUCACACGUCAUACAAUGGUCGGUACAGAGGGUAGCCAAGCCGCGAGGUGGAGCCAAUCCCAGAAAACCGAUCGUAGUCCGGAUUGCACUCUGCAACUCGAGUGCAUGAAGUCGGAAUCGCUAGUAAUCGCAGGUCAGCAUACUGCGGUGAAUACAUUCCCGGGUCUUGUACACACCGCCCGUCACACCAUGGGAGUGGGGGAUACCAGAAGCAGGUAGGGUAACCGCAAGGAGCCCGCUUGCCACGGU
This 707-nucleotide ribosomal RNA is filed under the name uncultured bacterium. RNAcentral's name for it is "bacterial SSU rRNA". It matches the Rfam family "Bacterial small subunit ribosomal RNA", at positions 755 to 1463 of the family's 1533-position model. The record is from RNAcentral.